AUGAACGCUGGCGGCGUGCUUAACACAUGCAAGUCGAACGAAGCACUUUAUUACAAUUACUUCGGUUUGAAGUCUUUUAUGACUGAGUGGCGGACGGGUGAGUAACGCGUGGGUAACCUGCCUCAUACAGGGGGAUAGCAGCUGGAAACGGCUGGUAAUACCGCAUAAGCGCACGGUAUCGCAUGAUACAGUGUGAAAAACUCCGGUGGUAUGAGAUGGACCCGCGUCUGAUUAGCUGGUUGGUGAGGUAACGGCCCACCAAGGCGACGAUCAGUAGCCGACCUGAGAGGGUGACCGGCCACAUUGGGACUGAGACACGGCCCAGACUCCUACGGGAGGCAGCAGUGGGGAAUAUUGCACAAUGGAGGAAACUCUGAUGCAGCGACGCCGCGUGAGUGAAGAAGUAGUUCGCUAUGUAAAGCUCUAUCAGCAGGGAAGAUAGUGACGGUACCUGACUAAGAAGCUCCGGCUAAAUACGUG
This 480-nucleotide ribosomal RNA is filed under the name uncultured bacterium. RNAcentral describes it as "bacterial SSU rRNA". It matches the Rfam family "Bacterial small subunit ribosomal RNA", at positions 29 to 507 of the family's 1533-position model. The record is from RNAcentral.